GAGUGAUGAACGUCCAGGUGCGCAGGCAGGACCUACUUCCACUCAUAAUGGGGCGGUCACGGGUUCGAGUCCCGUCUCCG
RNAcentral lists this transfer RNA (80 nucleotides) under Streptomyces sp. SID5910. RNAcentral's name for it is "tRNA-Met". The record is from RNAcentral. Lineage: Bacteria; Bacillati; Actinomycetota; Actinomycetes; Kitasatosporales; Streptomycetaceae.